RNAcentral lists this ribosomal RNA (598 nucleotides) under Obolarina dryophila. RNAcentral's name for it is "eukaryotic LSU rRNA". It matches the Rfam family "Eukaryotic large subunit ribosomal RNA", at positions 1 to 608 of the family's 3401-position model. The record is from RNAcentral. Lineage: Eukaryota; Fungi; Ascomycota; Sordariomycetes; Xylariales; Xylariaceae.
UUGACCUCGGAUCAGGUAGGAAUACCCGCUGAACUUAAGCAUAUCAAUAAGCGGAGGAAAAGAAACCAACAGGGAUUGCCCUAGUAACGGCGAGUGAAGCGGCAACAGCUCAAAUUUGAAAUCUGGCUUUCGGGUCCGAGUUGUAAUUUGCAGAGGAUGCUUUUGGCGAGGUGCCUUCCGAGUUCCCUGGAACGGGACGCCUUAGAGGGUGAGAGCCCCGUACGGUUGGACACCGAGCCUCUGUAAAGCUCCUUCGACGAGUCGAGUAGUUUGGGAAUGCUGCUCUAAAUGGGAGGUAAAUUUCUUCUAAAGCUAAAUACCGGCCAGAGACCGAUAGCGCACAAGUAGAGUGAUCGAAAGAUGAAAAGCACUUUGAAAAGAGGGUUAAAUAGCACGUGAAAUUGUUGAAAGGGAAGCGUUUACGGCCAGACCUUCUCCUGGCGGAUCAUCUGGUGUUCUCACCAGUGCACUUCGCCAGGUCUAGGCCAGCAUCGGCUUCCGUAGGGGGAUAAAAGCAGUGGGAAAGUAGCUCCCUAGGGAGUGUUAUAGCCCUAAGCAUAAUACCCUUACGGGGGCCGAGGACCGCGCUCUGCAAGGA